Cordylochernes scorpioides is the source of this 71-nucleotide non-coding RNA. Lineage: Eukaryota; Metazoa; Arthropoda; Arachnida; Pseudoscorpiones; Chernetidae. The record is from the annotation of a GenBank genome assembly.
CGCCCAACGUGGGAUUUGAACCCACGACUCUGAAAUUGAUUCUCAUGCUCUACCGACUGAACUAACUGGGC